Molecule: ribosomal RNA, 259 nt
Filed under: uncultured Leptotrichia sp.
Lineage: Bacteria; Fusobacteriati; Fusobacteriota; Fusobacteriia; Fusobacteriales; Leptotrichiaceae
Description: partial 16S ribosomal RNA
Rfam family: Bacterial small subunit ribosomal RNA
Source: RNAcentral
GGCGGACGGGUGAGUAACGCGUAAAGAACUUGCCCUUUAGACUGGGAUAACAGAGGGAAACUUCUGAUAAUACUGGAUAAGUUAGUAUAUCGUAUGAUAUGCAAAUGAAAGCUACGGCACUAAAGGAGAGCUUUGCGUCCUAUUAGCUAGUUGGUAAGGUAAGAGCUUACCAAGGCGAUGAUAGGUAGCCCGGCCUGAGAGGGUGGACGGCCACAAGGGGACUGAGAUACGGCCCUUACUCCUAAGGGAGGCAGCAGCC